CUCCUUUGACGUUAGCGGCGGACGGGUGAGUAACACGUGGGUAACCUACCUAUAAGACUGGGAUAACUUCGGGAAACCGGAGCUAAUACCGGAUAAUAUUUCGAACCGCAUGGUUCGAUAGUGAAAGGUGGUUUUGCUAUCACUUAUAGAUGGACCCGCGCCGUAUUAGCUAGUUGGUAAGGUAACGGCUUACCAAGGCGACGAUACGUAGCCGACCUGAGAGGGUGAUCGGCCACACUGGAACUGAGACACGGUCCAGACUCCUACGGGAGGCAGCAGCA
Molecule: ribosomal RNA, 281 nt
Filed under: uncultured Staphylococcus sp.
Lineage: Bacteria; Bacillati; Bacillota; Bacilli; Caryophanales; Staphylococcaceae
Description: partial 16S ribosomal RNA
Rfam family: Bacterial small subunit ribosomal RNA
Source: RNAcentral